GCGAGUCGAGAGGGUUCGGCCCUCGGCGAACUGCUCAGUAACACGUGGAUAAUUUGCCCUUAGGUGGAGGAUAAUCUCGGGAAACUGAGAAUAAUACUCCAUAGGUCUAGGAUGCUGGAAUGCACUUAGAUUGAAAGUUCCGGCGCCUAAGGAUAAGUCUGCGGACUAUCAGGUUGUAGUCAGGGUAAAGACCUGACUAGCCUACGACGGAUACGGGUUGUGAGAGCAAUAACCCGGAGACGAUAUCUGAGACACGAUAUCGGGCCCUACGGGGCGCAGCAGGCGCGAAAACUUCACACUGUGCGAAAGCGCGAUGAGGGAAUCCCAAGUGUUUGCUCGUUAGAGUAAACUGUUUCUUUGUUUAAAACGCAGAGAGAGUAAGGGCUGGGUAAGACGGGUGCCAGCCGCCGCGGUAAUACCUGCAGCUCAAGUGGUGAUCAUUAUUAUUGGGCCUAAAACGUCCGUAGCCGGUUUAGUAAAUGCCUGGGUAAAUCGUGUAGCUUAACUAUACGACUUCCGGGUAGACUGCUAAACUUGAGACCGGGAGAGGCUAGAGGUACUCCUGGGGUAGAGGUGAAAUUCUGUAAUCCUAGGGGGACCACCAGUGGCGAAGGCGUCUAGCUAGAACGGGUCUGACGGUGAGGGACGAAGCCCUGGGGCGCAAACCGGAUUAGAUACCCGGGUAGUCCAGGGUGUAAACGCUGCUUGCUUGAUGUUAGUUGGGCUCCGAGCCCAACUAGUGUCGGAGA
RNAcentral lists this ribosomal RNA (749 nucleotides) under uncultured archaeon. Its description in RNAcentral is "bacterial SSU rRNA". It matches the Rfam family "Archaeal small subunit ribosomal RNA", at positions 53 to 807 of the family's 1478-position model. The record is from RNAcentral.